Molecule: non-coding RNA, 69 nt
Organism: Streptomyces sp. DSM 15324
Lineage: Bacteria; Bacillati; Actinomycetota; Actinomycetes; Kitasatosporales; Streptomycetaceae
Rfam family: ASpks TB sRNA
Source: Rfam
CUUCACCGAACCCAGCCACAACGGCCGCUCACGACCCUGCCCGUAGGUAGCGAGCAGGGCCUGCGCCUC